RNAcentral lists this ribosomal RNA (466 nucleotides) under uncultured bacterium. RNAcentral describes it as "bacterial SSU rRNA". It matches the Rfam family "Bacterial small subunit ribosomal RNA", at positions 338 to 795 of the family's 1533-position model. The record is from RNAcentral.
CCUANGGGUGGCAGCAGUGGGGAAUAUUGGGCAAUGGGCGAAAGCCUGACCCAGCGACGCCGCGUGGGCGAUGAAGGCCUUCGGGUUGUAAAGCCCUUUCGUGUGGAAAGAACAGCCCUGUGACUAAUACUCGCGGGGUCUGACGGUACCACAAGAAGAAGCACCGGCUAACUCCGUGCCAGCAGCCGCGGUAAUACGGAGGGUGCAAGCGUUGUUCGGAAUUAUUGGGCGUAAAGGGCGCGUAGGCGGUAGCGUAAGUCAGAUGUGAAAUCCUUCGGCUUAACUGAAGAACUGCAUUUGAUACUGCGCAACUAGAGUACUGGAGAGGGAAAUGGAAUUCCCGGUGUAGAGGUGAAAUUCGUAGAUAUCGGGAGGAACACCAGUGGCGAAGGCGAUUUCCUGGCCAGAUACUGACGCUGAGGCGCGAAAGCGUGGGGAGCAAACAGGAUUAGAUACCCCUNUANUC